UGAAUCCAUCCGUCGAUGAGGCGGGAGC
Molecule: non-coding RNA, 28 nt
Filed under: Bombyx mori (domestic silkworm)
Lineage: Eukaryota; Metazoa; Arthropoda; Insecta; Lepidoptera; Bombycidae
Source: RNAcentral